This 448-nucleotide ribosomal RNA is filed under the name uncultured bacterium. RNAcentral's name for it is "bacterial SSU rRNA". It matches the Rfam family "Bacterial small subunit ribosomal RNA", at positions 328 to 793 of the family's 1533-position model. The record is from RNAcentral.
CGGCCAGACUCCUACGGGAGGCAGCAGUGGGGAAUAUUGCACAAUGGGCGAAAGCCUGAUGCAGCAACGCCGCGUGAAGGAAGAAGGUCUUCGGAUCGUAAACUUCUGUCCUUGGGGAAGAUAAUGACGGUACCCUUGGAGGAAGCCCCGGCUAACUACGUGCCAGCAGCCGCGGUAAUACGUAGGGGGCAAGCGUUAUCCGGAAUUACUGGGCGUAAAGGGCGCGUAGGUGGGCGCUUAAGUCAGGUGUGAAAACUCCGGGCUCAACCUGGAGACUGCACUUGAAACUGGGUGUCUUGAGGGCAGGAGAGGAAAGUGGAAUUCCUAGUGUAGCGGUGAAAUGCGUAGAUAUUAGGAGGAACACCAGUGGCGAAGGCGACUUUCUGGACUGUACCUGACGCUGAGGCGCGAAAGCGUGGGUAGCGAACGGGAUUAGAUACCCCGGUAC